RNAcentral lists this ribosomal RNA (480 nucleotides) under uncultured bacterium. RNAcentral's name for it is "partial 16S ribosomal RNA". It matches the Rfam family "Bacterial small subunit ribosomal RNA", at positions 28 to 506 of the family's 1533-position model. The record is from RNAcentral.
GAUGAACGCUGGCGGCGUGCUUAACACAUGCAAGUCGAACGAAGCAUUUGCGACAGAUUUUUUCGGAAUGAAGUUGCUUAUGACUGAGUGGCGGACGGGUGAGUAACGCGUGGGUAACCUGCCUUGUACUGGGGGAUAGCAGCUGGAAACGGCUGGUAAUACCGCAUAAGCGCACAAUGUUGCAUGACAUGGUGUGAAAAACUCCGGCGGUAUAAGAUGGACCCGCGUCUGAUUAGCUAGUUGGUGAGAUAACAGCCCACCAAGGCGACGAUCAGUAGCCGACCUGAGAGGGUGACCGGCCACAUUGGGACUGGGACACGGCCCAGACUGCUACGGGAGGCAGCAGUGGGGAAUAUUGCACAAUGGAGGAAACUCUGAUGCAGCGACGCCGCGUGAGUGAAGAAGUAAUUCGUUAUGUAAAGCUCUAUCAGCAGGGAAGAUAGUGACGGUACCUGACUAAGAAGCUCCGGCUAAAUACGU